Molecule: ribosomal RNA, 497 nt
Filed under: uncultured bacterium
Lineage: Bacteria
Description: partial 16S ribosomal RNA
Rfam family: Bacterial small subunit ribosomal RNA
Source: RNAcentral
GAUGAACGCUGGCGGCGUGCCUAAUACAUGCAAGUCGAGCGAACGGACGAGAAGCUUGCUUCUCUGAUGUUAGCGGCGGACGGGUGAGUAACACGUGGAUAACCUACCUAUAAGACUGGGAUAACUUCGGGAAACCGGAGCUAAUACCGGAUAAUAUUUUGAACCGCAUGGUUCAAAAGUGAAAGACGGUCUUGCUGUCACUUAUAGAUGGAUCCGCGCUGCAUUAGCUAGUUGGUAAGGUAACGGCUUACCAAGGCAACGAUGCAUAGCCGACCUGAGAGGGGGAUCGGCCAAACUGGAACUGAGACACGGUCCAGAAUCCUACGGGAGGCAACAGGAGGGAAUCUUCCGGCAUGGGGGAAAGCCUGACGGAGCAACGCCGGGUGAGUGAAGAAGGUCUUCGGAUCGUAAAACUCUGUUAAUAGGGAAGAACAUAUGUGUAAGUAACUGUGCACCUCUUGACGGUACCUAAUCCGAAAGGCACGGCUAACUUCGUG